RNAcentral lists this ribosomal RNA (440 nucleotides) under uncultured bacterium. RNAcentral describes it as "partial 16S ribosomal RNA". It matches the Rfam family "Bacterial small subunit ribosomal RNA", at positions 338 to 795 of the family's 1533-position model. The record is from RNAcentral.
CCUACGGGCGGCAGCAGUGGGGAAUAUUGGACAAUGGGGGCAACCCUGAUGCAGCGACGCCGCGUGUGUGAAGAAGUAUUUCGGUACGUAAAGCUCUAUCAGCAGGAAAGAAAAUGACGGUACCUGACUAAGAAGCCCCGGCUAACUCCGUGCCAGCAGCCGCGGUAAUACGUAGGGGGCAAGCGUUAUCCGGAUUUACUGGGUGAAAAGGGAGCGUAGACGGCAGGGCAAGUCUGGAGUGAAAUGCCGGGGCCCAACCCCGGAACUGCUCCUGAAACUGUGAAGCUGGAGUGCAGGAGAGGGAGGUAGAAUUCCAGGUGUAGCGGUGAAAUGCGUAGAUAUCAGGAGGAACACCGGCGGCGAAGGCGGCUUACUGGACUGUAACUGACACUGAGGCUCGAAAGUGUGGGUAGCAAACAGGAUUAGAUACCCGGGUAGUC